AGAUCAUGGUGAGGGCAUCUUUGUACCAACAUCUUAAAUCACUCUCAAGCUUUAUGAGAAAUUUCUCCUUCUAAUUGCUUGAACGUUGCAAUCUCCUUCAUAAAUUG
Small nucleolar RNA from Gossypium arboreum, 107 nucleotides. It matches the Rfam family "Plant small nucleolar RNA R71". Rfam says of the family: R71 is a member of the C/D box family of snoRNAs containing the C (UGAUGA) and D (CUGA) box motifs. Multiple nearly identical copies of this snoRNA have been identified in Arabidopsis, and it is thought to function as a 2'-O-ribose methylation guide for 18S ribosomal RNA. The record is from Rfam. Lineage: Eukaryota; Viridiplantae; Streptophyta; Magnoliopsida; Malvales; Malvaceae.